CAGCCCCUUAGUUGAGAGUCCCUACUCCAGGGAAAUACAAAACCCCAAGACCCUAACCUUAAAGGGGCGGCA
This 72-nucleotide microRNA precursor is filed under the name Otolemur garnettii (small-eared galago). Its description in RNAcentral is "miRNA (ENSOGAG00000028452.1)". The record is from RNAcentral. Lineage: Eukaryota; Metazoa; Chordata; Mammalia; Primates; Galagidae.